This 518-nucleotide ribosomal RNA is filed under the name Bolitoglossa occidentalis. Its description in RNAcentral is "partial 16S large subunit ribosomal RNA". It matches the Rfam family "Bacterial large subunit ribosomal RNA", at positions 1817 to 2597 of the family's 2925-position model. The record is from RNAcentral. Lineage: Eukaryota; Metazoa; Chordata; Amphibia; Caudata; Plethodontidae.
CGCCUUUUGAAAUAUAAACAUAAAAGGUCCUGCCUGCCCAAUGACUUGUUUUUAAUGGCCGCGGUAUUAUGACCGUGCAAAGGUAGCGUAAUCAUUUGUCUUUUAAAUAAAGACCAGUAUGAAUGGCUAAACGAAAGCCUCACUGUCUCUCUAACCUACUCAAUGAAAUUGAUCUCUCCGUGCAGAAGCGGAGAUAAAACUAUAAGACGAGAAGACCCUGCGGAGCUUUAAACUCUAGCUAACAAAUUAUAUAAUACUUUAGUACACAGUUUUUGGUUGGGGCGACCAUGAGGUAUAGCAUAACCCUCACGAUAUUUAAUUAAGAAAGACACUUCAAACAACUAAUAUAGUAUAUUGACCCAAUAUUUGAUCACGAACCAAGUUACCCCAGGGAUAACAGCGCAAUCCGCUCAAAGAGUCCUUAUCGACGAGCAGGUUUACGACCUCGAUGUUGGAUCAGGACCCCCAAGUAGCGCAACAGCUAUUGAAGGUUCGUUUGUUCAACGAUUAAUAGUCCU